AACGUAGGAGCCAAGCGUUAUCCGAAUUCACUGGGCGUAAAGCGCGUGCAGGCGGUCUGGUAAGUUGGAUGUGAAAUCUCCUGGCUCAACUGGGAGAGGCCGUUCAAUACUGUCAGACUAGAGGGCGACAGAGGGAGGUGGAAUUCCGGGUGUAGUGGUGAAAUGCGUAGAUAUCCGGAGGAACACCAGAGGCGAAGGCGACCUCCUGGGUCGUACCUGACGCUCAGAUGCGAAAGCUAGGGGAGCGAACGGG
RNAcentral lists this ribosomal RNA (253 nucleotides) under uncultured bacterium. Its description in RNAcentral is "partial 16S ribosomal RNA". It matches the Rfam family "Bacterial small subunit ribosomal RNA", at positions 524 to 776 of the family's 1533-position model. The record is from RNAcentral.